UCGCUAUUAGAUGAGCCUACGUUAGAUUAGCUAGUUGGUAAGGUAAUGGCUUACCAAGGCUGUGAUCUAUAGCUGGUCUGAGAGGACGAUCAGCCACACUGGAACUGAGAUACGGUCCAGACUCCUACGGGAGGCAGCAGUGGGGAAUAUUGGACAAUGGGCGAAAGCCUGAUCCAGCUAUGCCGCGUGAGUGAAGAAGGCCUUCGGGUUGUAAAACUCUUUCAAUAGGGAAGA
RNAcentral lists this ribosomal RNA (234 nucleotides) under Ehrlichia sp. Its description in RNAcentral is "partial 16S ribosomal RNA". It matches the Rfam family "Bacterial small subunit ribosomal RNA", at positions 215 to 448 of the family's 1533-position model. The record is from RNAcentral. Lineage: Bacteria; Pseudomonadati; Pseudomonadota; Alphaproteobacteria; Rickettsiales; Anaplasmataceae.